Molecule: transfer RNA, 56 nt
Filed under: Triticum aestivum (bread wheat)
Lineage: Eukaryota; Viridiplantae; Streptophyta; Magnoliopsida; Poales; Poaceae
Also listed under: 1 other name
Rfam family: tRNA
About the family: Transfer RNA (tRNA) molecules are approximately 80 nucleotides in length. Their secondary structure includes four short double-helical elements and three loops (D, anti-codon, and T loops).
Source: Rfam by way of RNAcentral
GCUCAGUGGGUAGAGUACAAAGCUCUUAACCUUGUGGACGUGGGUUCGAGCCUCAU